GGGUGGAUAGGAUAUGGCGGCCCAUUUUUAGGUGUUUGGUUGGUAGGUGGAAGUGGGAUAGGGCGGUCCGAAGGGGAAUAUUUCUCCUAAUGCCGGACGGGAGGAUCUGGCCAAUUUGCCCGGAUUUGGACGUUCGGGCGAGUCGAGCGAGCGGUCGAGAAGAGGGCGAGCGACGACGACAACAUCGUGAUGUGGUCGGGCGAGCGAUGACGGCGUGCCGCGACCGGGCGAGCGACGACGGUGUGCCGCGACCG
This 254-nucleotide long non-coding RNA is filed under the name Oryza brachyantha (malo sina). Its description in RNAcentral is "long non-coding RNA (OBRA_LNC003032)". Lineage: Eukaryota; Viridiplantae; Streptophyta; Magnoliopsida; Poales; Poaceae. The record is from RNAcentral.